GUACAUGAAAGAAUUUUACAAGGCAUUUCUUGAUGUAUAUACAGAAAUUGAAGAAAACAUGAUCAAACAGGGAAGAUUAUACCGUUUCUAUUAUGCAAAAGAAGCAGUAAGUAUUAGGCAGGCGAAUAUAUAGUUGAAACCCCAUAAUUCAUAGUAAUUAUGUGGGGUGUGAAAUAUUGAUUAUUUGUUUAAGAAGGCGUGCAAUUCCCUUGUUUGGCAGAUGAAAAAACAAGUUAGAGCUUACUUCAUUGAAUCCAAAUGGUUCCACCAGAAAUACAUACCGACGAUGGAGGAGUACAUGUCCAUCGCAUUAGUU
This 316-nucleotide unclassified non-coding RNA is filed under the name Hevea brasiliensis (rubber tree). The record is from RNAcentral. Lineage: Eukaryota; Viridiplantae; Streptophyta; Magnoliopsida; Malpighiales; Euphorbiaceae.